AUUGAACGCUAGCGGCAGGCCUAAUACAUGCAAGUCGGACGGGAUCCGUCGGAGAGCUUGCUCGAAGACGGUGAGAGUGGCGCACGGGUGCGUAACGCGUGAGCAACCUACCUCUAUCAGGGGGAUAGCCUCUCGAAAGAGAGAUUAACACCGCAUAACAUAUGUGACCGGCAUCGGUUGGAUAUUAAAUAUUUAUAGGAUAGAGAUGGGCUCGCGUGACAUUAGCUAGUUGGUAGGGUAACGGCUUACCAAGGCGACGAUGUCUAGGGGCUCUGAGAGGAGAAUCCCCCACACUGGUACUGAGACACGGACCAGACUCCUACGGGAGGCAGCAGUAAGGAAUAUUGGUCAAUGGGCGGAAGCCUGAACCAGCCAUGCCGCGUGCAGGAUGACUGCCCUAUGGGUUGUAAACUGCUUUUGUCCAGGAAUAAACCUAGAUACGUGUAUCUAGCUGAAUGUACUGGAAGAAUAAGGAUCGGCUAACUCCGUGCCAGCAGCCGCGGUAA
Molecule: ribosomal RNA, 506 nt
Filed under: uncultured bacterium
Lineage: Bacteria
Description: partial 16S ribosomal RNA
Rfam family: Bacterial small subunit ribosomal RNA
Source: RNAcentral